This is a long non-coding RNA of Cercocebus atys (sooty mangabey), 406 nucleotides long. RefSeq lists it as uncharacterized. The transcript is spliced from 3 exons. NCBI's taxonomy places the organism in Eukaryota, Metazoa, Chordata, Mammalia, Primates, Cercopithecidae. The record is from RefSeq and is a predicted model, not a curated record.
ACCACAUUCUUUAUCCAGCCAUCUGCUGUUGGACACCUACGUUGAUUCCAUAUCUUGACUAUUGUGAAUAGACAUGGGGCUGCAGAUACCGACGUGUGAGCCCUGUGAGGAAGGAAACCCCAGCUCGUGAGACAUUGACUAGUGUGUGACCUCGAGCAAGUUGCCACCAUCCGUCAGAUGGGUAAUGUGGUGCCUGCCUUUGGGGCUGUGAUGGGAUUGAAUGAGCACAGCUGCAUGUUUCACCUUGCACGGAGCCUGGCACGUGGGAACCCUGGCUGACAGAAUCCAGUGCACGGAAGAAGGAGUGAGCUAGCGGAGGAGUGACGGUGUCCGCACACGGGAGCUCGCCCAGCGUGGUGCAGACGGUGCUGUCAGCCCGAACCUCUGUCAUGUAGUUGCUUUUUGU